Molecule: ribosomal RNA, 403 nt
Filed under: uncultured bacterium
Lineage: Bacteria
Description: partial 16S ribosomal RNA
Rfam family: Bacterial small subunit ribosomal RNA
Source: RNAcentral
GACGAACGCUGGCGGCGUGCCUAAUACAUGCAAGUCGAACGCAGUGGGGACGGGUGAGUAACCCGUGGGUAACCUCCCAUCAGAGGGGAGAACACUUGGAAACAGGUGCUAAACCGACACUGAUGGAUGGACCCGCGGUGCAUUAGCUAGUUGGUGAGGUAACGGCGCACCAAGGCCACGAUGCAGAGACGACCUGAGUGGGUGAUCAGCCACACUGGGACUUAGACACGGUUCAUACUCCUACGGGAGGCAGCAGUAGGGAAUCUUGGACAAUGGGCGAAAGUCUGACCGAGCAAUGCCGCGUGAGUGAAGAAGGUUUUCGGAUCGUAAAGCACUUUUAUUAUGGAAGCGGUAUCAAACCAUAAAGCCACGGCUAACUACGUGCCAGCAGCCGCGGUAAUAC